Molecule: non-coding RNA, 106 nt
Organism: Peziza echinospora
Lineage: Eukaryota; Fungi; Ascomycota; Pezizomycetes; Pezizales; Pezizaceae
Source: the annotation of a GenBank genome assembly
GCUUCCUUGGCUCAGUUGGUAGAGCGUUGGUCUCAUAGUCGUCACUAUGACACAUUCUUUAGAAUGUGCAAUCCAAAGGUCGUGAGUUCGAGCCUCACAGGGAGCA